Molecule: ribosomal RNA, 400 nt
Filed under: uncultured bacterium
Lineage: Bacteria
Description: bacterial SSU rRNA
Rfam family: Bacterial small subunit ribosomal RNA
Source: RNAcentral
UGGGGAAUUUUGGACAAUGGGCGCAAGCCUGAUCCAGCCAUGCCGCGUGUCUGAAGAAGGCCUUCGGGUUGUAAAGGACUUUUGUCAGGGAGGAAAUCCCGGUUGCUAAUACCGACCGGGGAUGACAGUACCUGAAGAAUAAGCACCGGCUAACUACGUGCCAGCAGCCGCGGUAAUACGUAGGGUGCAAGCGUUAAUCGGAAUUACUGGGCGUAAAGCGUGCGCAGGCGGUUGUGCAAGUCUGAUGUGAAAGCCCCGGGCUCAACCUGGGAACUGCAUUGGAGACUGCACGGCUAGAGUGCGUCAGAGGGGGGUAGAAUUCCACGUGUAGCAGUGAAAUGCGUAGAGAUGUGGAGGAAUACCGAUGGCGAAGGCAGCCCCCUGGGAUGACACUGACGCU